RNAcentral lists this non-coding RNA (22 nucleotides) under Arabidopsis thaliana (thale cress). The record is from RNAcentral. Lineage: Eukaryota; Viridiplantae; Streptophyta; Magnoliopsida; Brassicales; Brassicaceae.
CGCCAAUAAUCCAUCAGCCAGC